Molecule: ribosomal RNA, 462 nt
Filed under: uncultured bacterium
Lineage: Bacteria
Description: bacterial SSU rRNA
Rfam family: Bacterial small subunit ribosomal RNA
Source: RNAcentral
GAUGAACGCUGGCGGUGUGCUUAACACAUGCAAGUCGAACGAGCAGCCCGGAGUAUUUCGGUACACUGGGUGGGCGAGUGGCGAACGGGUGCGUAACACGUAGGGACCUGCCCUGGAGAGGGGACAACGGCUGGAAACGGCUGCUAAUCCCGCAUGGUCCCGGUCUUCGGAUCGAGUAAAACUCAGGUGCUCCAGGAGGGGCCUGCGGCCUAUCAGGUAGUUGGUGGGGUAACGGCCUACCAAGCCGAUGACGGGUAGGGGGCGUGAGAGCGUGACCCCCCACACGGGAACUGAGACACGGUCCCGACGCCUACGGGCGGCAGCAGUGAGGAAUCUUGCGCAAUGGGGGCAACCCUGACGCAGCGACACCGCGUGCGGGAGGAAGGCCUUCGGGUCGUAAACCGCUUUUCUGGAGGACGAGGACGGACGGUACUCCAGGAAUAAGUCCCGGCUAACUACGUG